GGUCUUUGGAGAAGAACGGGUAUUUCAGCAGUGUUUUUACUUCUGGCCACCCUCUCGACCCCGGGUGAGCGCAGUGGGGGCGGUGUGGCGGUACAGGGCUGCUGAGUGAUAAAUGGGGAGGGGGAUCGGAAAGCCUGGUUCUUGGGGGCAGGGAGAUAGCUUUUAGGAAAGCAUACCCUGACACUGGCGUUCGGAGAAAAAGGAACAGGAUAGCUCUCGCUGUUCUGUGUAAAGGUGAACAACAAAGGACAUUAAUGUUGACUGAUGAAUACAGGAGUCUCCCUUCCUUUUCCUCCUCCCAUUUCAGGCGGGUUACAGUUCCCGUUUUUGUUGUUUGAUUUCAGCUGGGUCGCCCCUUGACAGUUACUCCUUUUAGGGUUGAGACUAUUAAGAAGCCAGGCUCUCCGACAAGGCUGCAGCCGGCCAAAUGCAAUUAUAACCUCCCAGAAGGUCUAACAGAAAGCAUUAUGGAUUUUACUAACACUCUUUAUUUCCUAUAAUGCCCUGUUCUGCCGACUGGUGUACUUUGUGUGUGUGUGUGUGUGUGUGUGUGUUUUAAAAUUGAGGACAGGUCUAGUGAUUUAGGUGAUGUGUAGAUAUCUGCUUAUGUUCUAAAUUCAUUUUCCUGCAAUUUAAAACAUCUGGAAAGCCUUCCCAGGGAGUCGUAGUCCGAGGGGAUUUUUGUUUUUUUUUUUCCCAACUUUGCCUGGGGAUAGGACUUUGGGGUCCAUUGAAAGGACUGUAGGAUUCAACAAAAUCAUUCCCACAUUUCACGUUAGCUUCCAUUCUGGAUUGUGACUAAUUACCAAGACAAUAGUUUGACCUGAACCCACCUUUGGGAAAGGUUUCCAGCUUUCCCUCCUUCAAAGUGUCAGAGGAGUCUUUGCCAGCCUCUUUACUGGCAAGGAGUAGAUGUUAGUAGUUGUUAUUUUCGUUCUCCUCACUCUUCUCUUUUUUGGGAGGUAGAUUAACCCUUGCUAGGGAAAAAGAUAGUCCCUUUGCUGGACUGGAAAAGGUAUAGUGAUGAAGUUAUAGUUCUGAGGAACAGGGAACCUUGUCUUUUAGAAAUCAUGUUAAGAGGCACAGUGAUAGGCAAUUUCACCUUAGGAGAUUCUAGUUAGCUCUUGAUUCUGGGCUAGACACUGCUGCCAGCUGUGUAACCUUAGGUAAAUCACUUAGCCUUUCUGGGUCCCAGCGUCUGGGGCAAGUGUUAACUAAAGCCUUCCCUGGUACUAAUUUUGUAGAGCUCUUCCAACUAACUGUGUUCUUUGGUUAGAAAAACAUCUUCAUUGUGUUGAGACUGCUAUGACAGAGACACUUUUGUUGUGACAUAUCUCACUUGGUUUUUAAGUAAGAUCAGAGGCUUUUAUGCACAGAUUCACAGAUGAGUCAUGGCAUCUUCCUGAGCUGAAGGCUGCACCCCUCAAACCUAGCCAGAUGUUUUACAUGUGUGAGCUUAGUUAAGCUUGACAGGAGAACACGGGCUGGAUUGAUCGGUGCAGAAAAUCCAUGAACCUUAUAAGAAACAAAACUCAGAACAAGCUGAUCUGAAGUCACAGUGUCAUUUAAAAAAUAAAUUGUGUGGUGCGAGUAUCACUCAGUCAUCACAUAAAUUCCUGUAUUCUAUUUUUCUUGAAGGAGUUUUUGAACUCAUCUGGGUAGGAAUCAUGUUCCUUUUUAAAGCCCCUUCUAUGUUGGUGGAAGAAGAUGCACCUUCUCGUAUUCAUACAGGAUAGUUAGGUGUCUUUCUCCUUAGAAAGAUGCUUUAAUCAUAGCGUAUGUGUGUGAUAGAGCGUAAUAAGGAUGUGUUUCCUUUACUCUUAGUUUUUUGUAGUUUCUUAGCUAACAGUUUCUUAAAGUGUUUUCUAUUAGUGGUCCUAUGAUGUAUCUACAUAGCAUGUAAAGCUAAAUAAUAAUGUUCUGCUUGGAAUUGUUUGUGACAUUUAGAGCCUGACACAGGAUUCUAAACUUUAAGUGGGAAUAGAAGAGAAAUGAUUUAUACCUCCCAGUAAAAUACCACCGAAGGGCCAUACAGACAGUGGGAUAGCAGCUUAUGUUCUUGAUCUGGCCUCCUAUGGGAAUGGUCUAUAAAAAUGUUCCCCUCUUUUGGUCAUUCCCCUAAGUGACAGUUCUUCACAAGGCCCCUGAAGCCACAUAGAGAUGCUGCUCUUCCUCUAUGAUCUUGUUUUUUUUUGUUUUUUU
Molecule: long non-coding RNA, 2202 nt
Filed under: Homo sapiens (human)
Lineage: Eukaryota; Metazoa; Chordata; Mammalia; Primates; Hominidae
Description: HSALNT0342710
Source: RNAcentral